GGGGAAUUUUGGACAAUGGGCGCAAGCCUGAUCCAGCCAUGCCGCGUGAGUGAAGAAGGCCUUCGGGUUGUAAAGCUCUUUCGGCCGGGAAGAAAUCGUGUUCUCUAACAUAGGACAUGGAUGACGGUACCGGACUAAGAAGCACCGGCUAACUACGUGCCAGCAGCCGCGGUAAUACGUAGGGUGCGAGCGUUAAUCGGAAUUACUGGGCGUAAAGCGUGCGCAGGCGGUUUUGUAAGACAGAUGUGAAAUCCCCGGGCUUAACCUGGGAACUGCGUUUGUGACUGCAAGGCUAGAGUACGGCAGAGGGGGGUGGAAUUCCUGGUGUAGCAGUGAAAUGCGUAGAGAUCAGGAGGAACACCGAUGGCGAAGGCAGCCCCCUGGGCCUGUACUGACGCUCAUGCACGAAAGCGUGGGGAGCAAACAGGAUUAGAUACCCUGGUAGUCCACGCCCUAAACGAUGUCGACUAGUCGUUCGGAGCAGCAAUGCACUGAGUGACGCAGCUAACGC
This 511-nucleotide ribosomal RNA is filed under the name bacterium enrichment culture clone SBR2-I. RNAcentral describes it as "bacterial SSU rRNA". It matches the Rfam family "Bacterial small subunit ribosomal RNA", at positions 356 to 858 of the family's 1533-position model. The record is from RNAcentral.